This 293-nucleotide ribosomal RNA is filed under the name uncultured bacterium. RNAcentral's name for it is "partial 16S ribosomal RNA". It matches the Rfam family "Archaeal small subunit ribosomal RNA", at positions 455 to 747 of the family's 1478-position model. The record is from RNAcentral.
GUGCCAGCCGCCGCGGUAAUACCGGCAGCACGAGUGAUGGCCGAUCUUAUUGGGCCUAAAGCGUCCGUAGCUGGCCGAGCAAGUUCGUCGGGAAAUCCACCAGCCCAACUGGUGGACGUCCGGCGAAAACUGUUCGGCUUGGAGCCGGAAGACCCAAGGGGUACGUCCGGGGUAGGAGUGAAAUCCCGUAAUCCCGGACGGACCGCCGAUGGCGAAAGCACCUUGGGAAGACGGACUCGACAGUGAGGGACGAAAGCUGGGGUCUCGAACCGGAUUAGAUACCCCGGUAGUCC